RNAcentral lists this ribosomal RNA (240 nucleotides) under uncultured bacterium. Its description in RNAcentral is "partial 16S ribosomal RNA". It matches the Rfam family "Bacterial small subunit ribosomal RNA", at positions 333 to 590 of the family's 1533-position model. The record is from RNAcentral.
AGUCUCCUACGGGGCGCAGCAGUGGGGAAUAUUGCACAAUGGGGGAAACCCUGAUGCAGCGACGCCGCGUGAGUGAAGAAGUAUUUCGGUAUGUAAAGCUCUAUCAGCAGGGAAGAAAAUGACGGUACCUGACUAAGAAGCCCCGGCUAACUACGUGCCAGCAGCCGCGGUAAUACGUAGGGGGCAAGCGUUAUCCGGAUUUACUGGGUGUAAAGGGAGCGUAGACGGCGCUGCAAGUCC